RNAcentral lists this ribosomal RNA (1517 nucleotides) under uncultured bacterium. RNAcentral describes it as "bacterial SSU rRNA". It matches the Rfam family "Bacterial small subunit ribosomal RNA". The record is from RNAcentral.
AUAGAGUUUGAUCCUGGCUCAGGACGAACGCUGGCGGCGUGCUUAACACAUGCAAGUCGUACGAACCUUGGAGGGCUUGCUCUUCAAGGCUAGUGGCGGACGGGUGCGUAACACGUGAGCAACUUGUCCUACGGUGGGGGAUAGCCGGCCCAACGGCCGGGUAAUACCGCGUAUUGCAUCGGCACCGCAUGAUGCUGAUGUGAAAGCGGCCGCAAGGUCGCGCCGGAGGAGGGGCUCGCGGCGUAUCAGCUUGUUGGUGGGGUAACGGCCUACCAAGGCUACGACGCGUAGCUGGUCUGAGAGGAUGAUCAGCCACAUUGGGACUGAGAUACGGCCCACACUCCUACGGGAGGCAGCAGUGGGGAAUAUUGCGCAAUGGCCGCAAGGCUGACGCAGCGACGCCGUGUGUGGGAUGAAGGCCCUCGGGUUGUAAACCACUGUCAGGAGGGACGAAUGCUCGGCUUCAAAUAGUUGACCGAGAGUGACGGUACCUCCAGAGGAAGCACCGGCUAACCCCGUGCCAGCAGCCGCGGUAAUACGGGGGGUGCAAGCGUUGUCCGGAUUCACUGGGCGUAAAGCGCGCGUAGGCGGUUCUGUAAGUCAUCUGUGAAAUCCCGGGGCUCAACUCCGGGGCUGCAGGUGAUACUGCAGAGCUAGAGCUCGGUAGAGGCAAGUGGAAUUCCCGGUGUAGCGGUGGAAUGCGUAGAUAUCGGGAAGAACACCAGUGGCGAAGGCGGCUUGCUGGGCCGAUGCUGACGCUGAGGCGCGAAAGCGUGGGGAGCAAACAGGAUUAGAUACCCUGGUAGUCCACGCCGUAAACGAUGGGUACUAGGCGUCGGGGGGAGCGACCCCUUCGGUGCCGUCGCUAACGCACUAAGUACCCCGCCUGGGGAGUACGGCCGCAAGGCUGAAACUCAAAGGAAUUGACGGGGGCCCGCACAAGCGGUGGAGCAUGUGGUUUAAUUCGAUGCAACGCGAAGAACCUUACCUGGGCUUGACAUGUCCGUGAAAGCUGGUGGAAACAUCGGCCCCUCUUCGGAGCUCGGUCACAGGUGCUGCAUGGCUGUCGUCAGCUCGUGUCGUGAGAUGUUGGGUUAAGUCCCGCAACGAGCGCAACCCUCGCUCCCAGUUGCCAGCGGUUCGGCCGGGGACUCUGGGGGGACUGCCGGUGUCAAACCGGAGGAAGGUGGGGACGACGUCAAGUCAUCAUGGCCCUUACGCCCAGGGCGACACACGUGCUACAAUGGCCGGUACAACGCGCUGCCAACCCGCGAGGGUGAGCCAAUCGCUAAAAGCCGGUCUAAGUUCGGAUUGCAGUCUGUAACUCGACUGCAUGAAGUUGGAAUCGCUAGUAAUCGCGGAUCAGCCAUGCCGCGGUGAAUACGUUCCCGGGCCUUGUACACACCGCCCGUCACGCCAUGGAAGCUGGGGGGACCCGAAGCCGGUGGGCUAACCUUCGGGAGGCAGCCGUCUAAGGUCAACUCAGUGACUGGGGCGAAGUCGUAACAAGGUAACCA